GGAGAGGUGACCGAGAGGCCGAAGGUGACGGAUUGCUAAUCCGUUGUACGUGCCUAAACAUGUACCGAGGGUUCGAAUCCCUCCCUCUCCG
Molecule: transfer RNA, 91 nt
Filed under: Candidatus Moduliflexus flocculans
Lineage: Bacteria; Candidatus Moduliflexota; Candidatus Moduliflexia; Candidatus Moduliflexales; Candidatus Moduliflexaceae
Rfam family: tRNA
About the family: Transfer RNA (tRNA) molecules are approximately 80 nucleotides in length. Their secondary structure includes four short double-helical elements and three loops (D, anti-codon, and T loops).
Source: Rfam by way of RNAcentral